CAAGUAGAAAAUGGACAAGGUUGAUGUAACUGACCUUCAGCGUUGAAGCCUGAUCGUUCCUGUCGUUUGAGAUGACUGUGCAGGAAGGAAAGGCAAUGAGGAGAUAAAGGAGCCUUAAACCUGCAUUGUCUGUCUUACCCAUGUUUUUCACGGCCUCCAAUGGGAGUUUUGCUCAGGAAGUGUGAAACAGAGCUGAAGAGAGUGGAAGUGGCCCUGUUGGACUAGGAGGAGACUUCAGUGUCUGAUCUGUGGGAGCUGCCAUCAGCUGGUGUCCUGCAGGUCUCAUCAUGCGUCAAGAAUGUGACAGUGUUCAAGG
Molecule: long non-coding RNA, 316 nt
Organism: Strigops habroptila (Kakapo)
Lineage: Eukaryota; Metazoa; Chordata; Aves; Psittaciformes; Psittacidae
Exons: 3
Source: RefSeq, a predicted model, not a curated record